This 192-nucleotide ribosomal RNA is filed under the name Meiothermus sp. CFH 77666. Its description in RNAcentral is "partial 16S ribosomal RNA". It matches the Rfam family "Bacterial small subunit ribosomal RNA", at positions 1 to 203 of the family's 1533-position model. The record is from RNAcentral. Lineage: Bacteria; Thermotogati; Deinococcota; Deinococci; Thermales; Thermaceae.
CUUUUGGAGAGUUUGAUCCUGGCUCAGGGUGAACGCUGGCGGUAUGCCUAAGACAUGCAAGUCGCACGGACUGUUUCGGCAGUUAGUGGCGGACGGGUGAGUAACACGUAGGUGACCUGCCCCAAAGUCGGGGACAACUAGGAGAAAUCUUAGCUAAUCCCCGAUGUGGACCCACCCCCUGGGGUGUGUCUA